AGCGAACGCUGGCGGCAGGCCUAGCACAUGCAAGUCGAACGAACUCUUCGGAGUUAGUGGCGGACGGGUGAGUAACACGUGGGAACGUGCCUUUUGGUUCGGAAUAACUCAGGGAAACUUGUGCUAAUACCGAAUGUGCCCUUCGGGGGAAAGAUUUAUCGCCAUUAGAGCGGCCCGCGUCUGAUUAGCUAGUUGGUGAGGUAACGGCUCACCAAGGCGACGAUCAGUAGCUGGUCUGAGAGGAUGACCAGCCACACUGGGACUGAGACACGGCCCAGACUCCUACGGGAGGCAGCAGUGGGGAAUCUUGCGCAAUGGGCGAAAGCCUGACGCAGCCAUGCCGCGUGAAUGAUGAAGGUCCUAGGAUUGUAAAAUUCUUUCACCGGGGACGAUAAUGACGGUACCCGGAGAAGAAGCCCCGGCUAACUUCGUG
RNAcentral lists this ribosomal RNA (433 nucleotides) under uncultured bacterium. RNAcentral describes it as "partial 16S ribosomal RNA". It matches the Rfam family "Bacterial small subunit ribosomal RNA", at positions 29 to 507 of the family's 1533-position model. The record is from RNAcentral.